This is a long non-coding RNA of Triplophysa rosa, 2897 nucleotides long. RefSeq lists it as uncharacterized. The record is from RefSeq and is a predicted model, not a curated record. NCBI's taxonomy places the organism in Eukaryota, Metazoa, Chordata, Actinopteri, Cypriniformes, Nemacheilidae. The transcript has 3 exons.
UGGAUUUAACGGUUUUAGCAGUGUGUGAUUUUAAACACGAGUAGAAUGUACACUGUUUUCACGGGGCAUAAACAUAUUUAACUAGCCAGCGCAUGUAGGCAGACUUGCAAGUCCUAAAGCGUGAGAGCUCUUGAUCCGUGGAAAUAUUCUGUAAAAUAUAUGUUUGUUAAGUACUUUUGCUAAAUAGAAUCAAGCAGUGCAUCGUUUUAAAUACGAGUAAGUUAGCAUGUAGGCUACACUGUUUAAACAUGCCUGGCAGCGGAUGUAGUAAAACUCGCAAGCUCUAGAUGUCCUGCCCAGUUUGUGAAAUAUAAUUUAUGUGUUUGAAACCGUAGUAGAGUGUGUAUUUGUUCACGUAGUUUAAAUGUUUAGCUGUCAGUUCUGUGUGAUAUCAGUGCAAAUCCUUAGGUAGCAUGUUUUACAUAACAAACUUCACCUUAAACCACGGUGCGUGUUCAAGUGUGCAUUUUUACCGUAAACAAAAUAGAUUCACGUGUUGCUACUCCACAUGCCCUUGCUGUCACAAAACUAGAAGUUUUGAGAGUACAGAAAUGGUUGCUCAGAGGAUGUGAAAGGCAUGAUUCUUCUACCUCUCUCCUGUUUUGAUGAGAAAGAGGAGCUCCUCCAUUAUGUAGAAGAGACAAGCCUGGCAAAGGAUGUGGAGUUAGAAAACCUGCCUGUGACGCCUUGCAUUAUUGUGUGUGGACCCUCCUGCUAUGCUGCUGUCCGAUUCAUGCUAGCUGUGGACCGCAAGAUUGUGAAUGAUGACAUCACUUCUUUCAUCUCUGCUGUUUGCCUAAUGUUCUGCAGUUAUUACUGCUCCAAAAUUAACUACCCUACUGAACUGGCGUCAGUGCUUGAAUUCCUGCAAAGGUGUUUUUUUCAUCAUCAAUCCGGAGAAAGGGAAUAAAGGAGGUGGAAAAGAAAAACAAAAAGCUACUCCCAGUCUUCACCCUAAUCGCUGACCUUUCUGAUCAUGAAUGGCGAGAGACUUUGUAAAGGUGGUCUGCAGACUGUUUCCAAGUUUAUACUCGGGGUGAGAGACUUUGUAAAGGUGGCCUACAGACUGUUUCCAAGUUUUAAUCUCUUAAAGGGUUAUUUCAGGCUUGAAUCAAAUUUUCCCCAUGUUUUACUUACCCUCAAGGCAUCCUAAGUGAAUGUAACUUUCUUCUUGAGGAAUAAUGGAGUCAGAGUAAUAAUACCACGUAUCCUUUUACUUCCAAGCAGUAGAAUGGGAGUGAAUGGGGGGCAAUUUUUUAAAUCUCCAAAAAGUGCAUCCAUUGAUCAAAGAGCGGCUCGACACGGCUCCGUGGUCUUAACAAAGGUCUUCUGAAGCGAAUCCAUGCGUUUGUUUAAGAGAAAUAUACAUAUUGACAACGCUAUAAAGGAUAAUGUCCAACAUCCGCUGCAGGCGAGCGAGAGGCUUGUUUCUCCGGCAAAUGACGCAGAGUCUUCACCCUAAGUAAGUUCCUGUGACGAACACAGCAUUUUUCGUUUUCGCCAAUAUAAACACCGCCUCUUCUGGGCGGGAGCUUUCGUCGCCAUCAUUUAACGGAAAAACAAGCCUCUCUUUCGCCUGCAGCGGCUGUUAGACAUUAUCCUUAAUAGCGUUGUCAAUAUGCAUAUUUCUCUUAAACAAACGCAUUGAUUCGCUUCAGAAGACCUUUGUUAAGACCACGGAGCCGUGUCGAGCCGUUCUUCUUUCAUCGAUGGAUGCACUUUUUGGAGCUUCAAAAAAUCCCCCCCAUUCACUCACAUUCUGCCGCUUGGAAGUCAAAGAAUACGUGGUAUUAUUACUUUGAUUGCAUUAUUCUUCAAGAAGAAAGUCACAUUCACUUAGGAUGCCGUGAGGGUAAGUAAAACAUGGGGAAAUUUUGAUUUUAAGCAUGAAGUAUCACUUUAAAGGGAUAGUUCUCCCCAAAGUGAAAAUUCUGUCAUUUCCUCACUCUCAGGUUCUUCCAAACCUGUAUACAUUUUUUGUUCGGUUAAACAAAAAGGAAGCUAUUUAUAAGAAUGUCAGUAACCAAACAGAUCUUAUCCCUCAUUUACUGCCAUAGUAGGGAAAAAAAAUACUAUGGGAGUCAAUGGGGGAUGAGAUCUGUUUGGUAAAUGACAUUCUUACAAAUAAAUUCCUUGGUGUUUAGCAGAACAAAGAAAUAUAUACAGUACAGGUUUGACAUGACAAGAGAGUGAGUAAAUGAUGACAGAAUUUUCAUUUUUGGGUGAAGCAUCACUUUAAAUGUAGACUGGACUGAACGAUUUUAAUUAAACCACUGUAUACCAGUUGAAACACGAGAACAGAAAAAUGCACUAAUAUUUUGUCUUAAAUGCCUGCCAGUCUUUAUUAAAGAUACUUGGGACCUCACUGAUGUCUUUGUCUUUUAUAGAUUUUGAUGGGUUUUGAUGAUUUGAUUUAGGUUUGCAAAUGUAAGAUAUUUAUCAAUUAGUUUAACAGUAAUUUUAAUAGUUUCUUAAAGGUUAAAUCUGAAUGUUUAGCAAAUAAUUAUAGAGUUUAACUGUAAUUAUUACAACAUAAACCUUUAAAUUAGACAGUGCUGAACUGUAAAAAAGAUGGUUAUGAACCGUAAUUAAUACAAUGUAAACCUUUAAAUUAGAAAGUGCUGAACUGUAAAAAAGAUGGUUAUGAACCGUAAUUAAUACAAUGUAUAUCCUGGAAUUUGACAGGUAUAAACUGUUUUUAUAACAGCAUAAACAAGUAAAUUAGACAGUUAUGAACCGUAAAAAAGAAAAUUAUUAACUGUAAAAUAUACGGUACAGUGGGUGCAAUCCCGUAAAACCAAUAACGUUGCAACCGUACUUUUGACGGUAAAGUUCUGGCAACCACAGCUGCCGGUUUUUUACCGUAAAAUUUACGGAAUAUUUUUUACAGUGUACUG